GGGAGAGACGUUGCUCAACCCACGACCCCUCAUAAACGGUGACACUCACCCUGCGAUCUCUCCAAGUCCCGACCUACGACGACUUGCGACUUGCGAGGAAUCUCACCGAGAGUCCGACCUGUGUAGGAAUCUCUCCAAGUCCCGACCUAAGUUCUGAAGCAACGUUUUCUCUCAAGUCCCGACCUGCAAGGAAUCUCACCAACCUCUCAAGUCCCAACCUACGAGGAAUCUCACCGACUUGCGAGGAAUCUCACCGUUGGCAACUUGUGACUUACGAGGAAUCUCAUCGACUUGUGAGGAAUCUCACCGAUCUCUCAAGUCCCGACCUACGACCUGCGACUUGCGAGGAAUCUCACCGAGAGUCCGCCGUUGGUGGCUGGAUUCAUUGUAGCAAAGAUGGCCGCAGUUGAGGGUACUAACUCAAAAAUUGCUACAUGGCCUUCUGAGAUAUCUCACUACUUUUUGGAGCGUCUUCUACACCAACAACAAAGGGGAAAGAAUGGAGAUAACGGGCUGAAAAAAGAAAAAUUUCAAGUAGUCUCAACUGAAUUAUAUGAAAGAUUUCAUUUGACAUAUGACUGGGGACAGUGCCGCAAUCACUACAGGAUAUGGAAAGCAAGGCUUAAGUCGCUUGUUGACUUGCAAAAAAAUAGUGGAAUGGGUUGGAAUGACCAUGAGAAGUGGUUUGAUGCACCACAACACAUGUGGAAUGAAUUCAAGGUUAAUUAAAUGUUUGAUGCAUUAUUUCUAGAUUGUUAGAAAGGUAUUCUAAAGGUAACGUUAACAGUUUACUAUUCUGACAAUACAAGAGUUAAUUAUAUUUUUUUUUUUUAGAAAAAAGAGCAAAGAUUUUGGAAAGAGCAUAGAGUGCUUCCUAUUCACCUACAACUUGUUGAAUGGCUGCGUAAUGAAAUUGCCACUGGGGCUGGAUCUUCACACCCAUCCGAUGCAGUCAAUGAGGCCUAGCCUUACAAUCCAGUGCCAAUUGAUGAAGAAAUUAGCUUGGACAAUUAUGAUGCUAUUGAUGAUAAUGUUGGUGAAAGUGCCCAUUAUACUCCCAAUGCAAGUAGCAGUCCUUCCCGUGGUAGGCCUAGUUCAGGGGUAACAAGUAAAGAGAAGAAGAAGAAAGGAGGUGCAGAAAAGGUUAGUAGUCCUUUGAAGGUGAUAGCCAAUGCAAUUGUGGAGAUGGCCAAGCAAGACCCCCGGAAGGAAUUUGCAAAAAACUUAUGUAUUGAGAUUGAUGCACUUCCAGGAGUUGAGUUUGAUAAAAAAUUGUGUGCUAAACAAUUCUUCAUGCAAUAUAAGGAAUUGGCUCCCAUCUUCUUGAAUGCCAAUGAGGCAGAUAAGCCUAAGGUGUUUGAACACUACAUGAAGAAUAUCGAAGAUGGUGGUCAAGAUUGAGGAGGUGUUGCUUUAUUUAUUUAUGAUUAGUGUGUUGUUUCAAAACAUGAGUAGAUAUUAACUAGACAAUUUAUGACAAAAAUUUGAAAUGCUUAUUUUGGUGAUGUAAUAUUGACUCAAUUUUUGAACUCUCUCAUUUAAACUGGUCAGCUGGUGAUUGGUAAGCUUUUGUAAGAAGGUAUUAUGUGGAUAUGGCACAUAAUGCUUUGAAUUCCAUUGGCCUCUUUCUUUUUAUGGUGGAUAUGGCAGAAUUCCUUUCUUAACUGUUAGAUUCAGAUCAAGCAUUUUUUUUAUGGUGGAUAUGGUUAAUUAAUAUCAUUUCAUUAGGGCCAUUAAAUGAAACUUUUUCCAGGGAUAUUUUCUUGGCAACCCUGUAACAGAUCCAGUUCUUGAUAUGCUCAGCCAAUCGAUGGGUCUAUUAUAUCAGUUGAACUUUAUGGAGGGCUUUUUGCUCAGUUGUAUAUCUAUCAUUGAUGUGCAGUUCAUGUUUCAAGUAAUGGUACUUGGCUGGUUUUAAGAGAGGGAGAAUUUGCACCCAAAACUUGUUGGAACUGUGCUUGCAUGCUCUAUACUUCUGUGGGGAAAUAGGUGGCUGGUUGAACAUGAGAAGUUGUCCUUAGGAUUGACAGAUGGAGUUUUGCAAGGCUUGCUGCCUCAGCUGAAGUGUUGGGCAGUAGAUCCUUUUGGGUGUUCUUGUAUGGCUGUUUUGACUACUGAGGAAGCCAUGGUUGUGAAGAUGAACAAAUUGGGCUGGGAAGAUUUUCAAGAGCACAUGAGCAGGCUUGGGAGAUUGAUAAAAACUUUGGGUCUGGUCCUUCGACAGUGCAGGUAAUGGGAAAACACUUGCCAAGUGCUAGAUGAUGGUUUGAUCCCAAGCUACUUCUGUUGGGGGUUCUUAUCAGUCAUACACUCAUGCUCAUCUGUAUCCCACCACCAUGGCAGAGAGUUGUUGCUGUAUGUCACCUGUUUUGCUAGAUGUGACCUCUUCCAUCCUCCUCAUCUUCUUUCUUUUCAGGUAUUUGGUUUUUCCUUUGUUUCCAUUGUCAAAAGCUUCUUUUAGGAGGACUUAUUACAAGUCGAGAGAGAUGAGCUUUUGUGCCAUGGCACUUUGGUUUUUAUCGAUGGAAAUCUUAUUUCAUCUAAUUGUUGAAGUUUUUCAGUGCUAACAAAAGUGAAGUUUAUUGGAAA
This is a long non-coding RNA of Macadamia integrifolia, 2589 nucleotides long. RefSeq lists it as uncharacterized. The transcript is spliced from 4 exons. The record is from RefSeq and is a predicted model, not a curated record. Lineage: Eukaryota; Viridiplantae; Streptophyta; Magnoliopsida; Proteales; Proteaceae.